UCGUGCAGCCGGGGUGGUAGCGGUACCUUGCACCUGCAAUCCGCUAUAGCAGGGGUGAUAUUGCGCAGAGGGCAUAUGCUGGUGAAGCUGCCUUUGGAAAGUGACGUUGAUGUCCGGGUCUCACGCGACGGAAAUCUGUGAAUCGUGUCAGGUCGGGAACGAAGCAGCACUAAGCGGAACCUUCCGGGUGCCGUGAGGGUGCCUGGACUGAGUUAACUACCAGAGUAACGUUUAUUGGUUUUAAGUUCGAAGCGCAAUGCACAU
This 264-nucleotide signal recognition particle RNA is filed under the name Dorea sp. AF36-15AT. Its description in RNAcentral is "Bacterial large signal recognition particle RNA". It matches the Rfam family "Bacterial large signal recognition particle RNA". Rfam says of the family: The signal recognition particle (SRP) is a universally conserved ribonucleoprotein involved in the co-translational targeting of proteins to membranes. Archaeal SRP consists of a 7S RNA and homologues of the eukaryotic SRP19 and SRP54 proteins. The record is from Rfam by way of RNAcentral. Lineage: Bacteria; Bacillati; Bacillota; Clostridia; Lachnospirales; Lachnospiraceae.